RNAcentral lists this ribosomal RNA (326 nucleotides) under uncultured eukaryote. Its description in RNAcentral is "partial 18S ribosomal RNA". It matches the Rfam family "Eukaryotic small subunit ribosomal RNA", at positions 1470 to 1796 of the family's 1831-position model. The record is from RNAcentral.
CCCUUAGAUGUUCUGGGCUGCACGCGCGCUACACUGAUGCACUCAACGAGUUUACGACCUUGCCCGAUAGGGUUGGGUAAUCUUUUUAAAAUGCAUCGUGAUGGGGAUAGAUUAUUGCAAUUAUUAAUCUUCAACGAGGAAUUCCUAGUAAGCGCGAGUCAUCAGCUCGUGCUGAUUACGUCCCUGCCCUUUGUACACACCGCCCGUCGCUCCUACCGAUUGAGUGCUCAGGUGAAUAAUUCGGACUGCAGCAAUGUUUGGAUCCCGAACGUUGCAGCGGAAAGUUUAUUGAACCUUAUCACUUAGAGGAAGGAGAAGUCGUAACA